GACGAACGCUGGCGGCGUGCCUAAUACAUGCAAGUAGAACGCUGAAGGAGGAGCUUGCUUCUCUGGAUGAGUUGCGAACGGGUGAGUAACGCGCAGGUAACCUGCCUGGUAGCGGGGGAUAACUAUUGGAAACGAUAGCUAAUACCGCAUAAGAGUAGAUGUUGCAUGACAUUUGCUUAAAAGGUGCAAUUGCAUCACUACCAGAUGGACCUGCGUUGUAUUAGCUAGUUGGUGGGGUAACGGCUCACCAAGGCGACGAUACAUAGCCGACCUGAGAGGGUGAUCGGCCACACUGGGACUGAGACACGGCCCAGACUCCUACGGGAGGCAGCAGUAGGGAAUCUUCGGCAAUGGACGGAAGUCUGACCGAGCAACGCCGCGUGAGUGAAGAAGGUUUUCGGAUCGUAAAGCUCUGUUGUAAGAGAAGAACGAGUGUGAGAGUGGAAAGUUCACACUGUGACGGUAUCUUACCAGAAAGGGACGGCUAACUACGUGCCAGCAGCCGCGGUAAUACGUAGGUGGCAAGCGUUAUCCGGAUUUAUUGGGCGUAAAGAGAGUGCAGGCGGUUUUCUAAGUCUGAUGUGAAAGCCUUCGGCUUAACCGGAGAAGUGCAUCGGAAACUGGAUAACUUGAGUGCAGAAGAGGGUAGUGGAACUCCAUGUGUAGCGGUGGAAUGCGUAGAUAUAUGGAAGAACACCAGUGGCGAAGGCGGCUACCUGGUCUGCAACUGACGCUGAGACUCGAAAGCAUGGGUAGCGAACAGG
Molecule: ribosomal RNA, 764 nt
Filed under: uncultured Streptococcus sp.
Lineage: Bacteria; Bacillati; Bacillota; Bacilli; Lactobacillales; Streptococcaceae
Description: bacterial SSU rRNA
Rfam family: Bacterial small subunit ribosomal RNA
Source: RNAcentral